RNAcentral lists this long non-coding RNA (1048 nucleotides) under Equus asinus (donkey). RNAcentral's name for it is "lncRNA (ENSEASG00005037871.1)". Lineage: Eukaryota; Metazoa; Chordata; Mammalia; Perissodactyla; Equidae. The record is from RNAcentral.
AAAGAGAAACCUGUGUGGUGACGGAUAUGUUAUUUAUCCUGAUGAGGGGAAUCCUUUUGCAAUGUAUCAAAUCAUGUCAUUGUAAAGAGAUAACACGUUUAUUUGGCAGUGAUGCCCUAUUAAAACUGGAAAAAUUCCCCCCCAAACCAAAAAAGAAGAAAAAAAUGUCAAACUCACAGAAACAGAGGAGAAUGGUGAUUGCCAGGAGCUGGGGGAAGAGGAAAGAGGGAGCUGCUGUCCGACAGGCACAAAGUUUCAGUCGUGCAAGAUGAGCAUCAGAAGAGAUCACAUCCAUGUGCUUAGAGAACGUCACGUGUGCUCUGCGUCCUCCACGUAGGCAGGGCGGGAUGGCUGAAGUGGGCUGGAGUCCCCACAGGUGGCUGGAGAUGCUCAUGUUCUAUCCCAGGACCAACAAACAGAACCAGAAGAAGAAGCAGAAAGUUGAGCCACCCACGCCACAGCAUUAUACACAAUAGCCAAGACAUGGAAGCAACCUAGGUGCCCAUCAAGGGACAAAUGGAUAAAGAAGAUGUGACUGUGCUUUGUGACCUGCCUUUGCCUGGAGGAGUCACACCUUGCAUGCUGAUAACAAUUCUGGGCACAGUGAAGCGCAAUGCAAACAGGCUUGCUUGAGAUUUCAAGAGAGGGCAUGAUGUCGCCUUCCACUGUAACCCGCGCUUCAGUAAGAACAACAGGGGAGCCAUUGUUUGCAUUACAAAGCUGGAUAAUAUCUGGGGAAAGGAAGAAAGACAGGCAGAUUUCCCCUUUGAAAGUGGUAAACCAAAACAGUUUCUGAGGGAAGAACCAUCAACAGCUUUUACUGAUUGCUGGAAGAACGCAGCAAUCAGUGGAUGAGAAAGGAAAGUCUGAGUGAGUUCUACUUUCUUUAAGUCUCCAAAUGGACACUUAAGGGGGAAAAUGCUGAUCCAGAGCAAUGGCUGACAGUGUUCCGGAUUAAGUGAGAGCCUAUUCAUCCUCUAAACAUGUAAGACUGAUUGGGAAACAGCUCUAUAUUUGUUUUCUAGAAAGACUCCACAGUUUAUACUUG